AUGUGCACUAUGAGGCAACACGCCGCCGUGUUUGCCCCGCCAUCUUCUGAUCUCUUCAGCAUUCCUGCUGUCUUGGGUUUUCUCUACACACGCAGUGUUUUAGAACGAUGCCCGCUUCAGAGUUUCAGUUCAACUCACCCAGACAGAAAUACAUUCUAUCACUGGCUAAGCAUAGUACGAACUGGGUGGACAUGGAGCCAAGGACAUGCUAAGUCAGAACUCGAAGUUGGGACAACUCAACAAGGGAAAGAGGAGCCUCAAGGGAGAUACCUGCAUAACACUGGAUGCACUGCAGAAGGAAUCAGAAAUGUUCUUAUGUUUUAG
Molecule: ribosomal RNA, 324 nt
Filed under: Triticum aestivum (bread wheat)
Lineage: Eukaryota; Viridiplantae; Streptophyta; Magnoliopsida; Poales; Poaceae
Description: partial small subunit ribosomal RNA
Source: RNAcentral